UUUAAAGUGUAAUGUAAGUCGCUUUGGAUAAAAGCGUCUGCCAAAUGACCUAUA
Non-coding RNA from Gasterosteus aculeatus (three-spined stickleback), 54 nucleotides. Lineage: Eukaryota; Metazoa; Chordata; Actinopteri; Perciformes; Gasterosteidae. The record is from Rfam.